CACACGGUCUGCGUGUGGGCGUGUGGUGAGCGCGGUUCGGUUGGUAGGUUGGCAGGCGAGCUGGCUGGUCGUUGUCGCCGCAACUGCUGGCUGGCUGGCUGGCUGGCUGGCUGACUGGCUAGGCGGUGGGUUGGCGGGACGGCUGGGUGGUUUGCUUGCUGGCUGGGCUGGCUGGUGCGAUGCUGCACUACUACUGCUUGCGUGCAGUGAGCGUGUGUUGGCAGGGAUUGUGUUGCCGUGGCCAUGAAGAAGCACUGUCGUGUCAAGCUGGCAAGGCGAUGGUGUCACCUUUGAGCCAUGUCUGUGGUGUAACAGCUACAGGUGUGGACGGGUGUUGGGCAGCGCUCUGCACACGUUGUGGAGUCUGUCGGCUCGUCUGCAUGCCUUUGGAUGCCCUUAAAAAGGUGUCUGCGGGCGGAUGGCACGUUUACUUUGAACAAAUUUGAGUGCUCAAAUCAGGCCGAUGUUGCCUGAAAAGUUUUGCAUGGAAUAAUGGAAUAGGACUUCGGUUCUAUUUCGUUGGUUUUCGGAUCCGAAGUAAUGAUCAAAAGAGACAGGCGGGGACGUUUGUAUGGCUGCGCUAGAGGUGAAAUUCAUGGACCGUAGCCAGACAGACUAAAGCGAAAGCAUUCGUCAAGCAUGUUUUCAUUGGCCAUGAGCGAAAGUCAGAGGCUCGAAGACGAUCAGAUACCGUCCUAGUUCUGACCAUAAACGAUGCCAACUGACGAUCCGUGGUGGUAGUAGUGUUACCUUCCCCACGGGCAGUCCCCGGGAAACCUUUAAGUGUUUGGGUUCCGGGGGAAGUAUGGUUGCAAAGCUGAAACUUAAAGGAAUUGACGGAAGGGCACCACCAGGAGUGGAGCCUGCGGCUUAAUUUGACUCAACACGGGAAAACUCACCCGGGCCGGACACUGUGAGGAUUGACAGAUUGAGAGCUCUUUCUUGAUUUGGUGGUUGGUGGUGCAUGGCCGUUCUUAGUUGGUGGAGCGAUUUGUCUGGUUAAUUCCGAUAACGAACGAGACUCCAACCUGCUAAUUAGUGCGUUUGUCCACUGCGCCUGCGUAGGUGACGCUGGAUGACACCACCUGUCACGAGGACGUGGCAGCGGCUCUUCUCUCCUUCUCCGCUCGAAUGCCCUCCAGCGCCUCCUCCUCCUCCUCCUCUCCUCCCCUUCUUCAGCGCCUCAUCUGGCCGGCUGGCUGGCUGGCCGGGUGAGGCGGCGGUGGUGGCGGUGGCGGUGGUGAGGGCGAUGGGGUGGGGAUGGUGCGGGUGGGCGAGUGGAUUGUGGUGGAGGCGUGGGGUUGGGUGCGGCGCUCGUGGCCGGUUAGUCUGGCGUUGGCCUCCGGGUGUGGCGCGAAUGCCUACUUCUUAGAGGGACAAGCGGGAGAAGCCGCACGAAAUAGAGCAAUAACAGGUCUGUGAUGCCCUUAGAUGUCCGGGGCCGCACGCGCGCUACAAUGACGGUGUCAGCGAGUCAGGCCUUCUGGCCCGAAAGGGUUGGGCAAACUGGUCAAUCACCGUCGUGACAGGGAUCGGGGCUUGGAAUUGUUCCCCGUGAACGAGGAAUUCCUAGUAAGUGCAAGUCAUAAGCUUGCGCUGAUUACGUCCCUGCCCUUUGUACACACCGCCCGUCGCUACUACCGAUUGAAUGGUUUAGUAAGGUCCUCGGAUUGGCGUCAUUGCGACGGUGGCCGAGAGGUCACAGCCCGAGGGGCGCUGAGAAGACGACCGAACUUGAUCAUUUAGAGGAAGUAAAAGUCGUAACAAGGUUUCCGUAGGUGAACCUGCGGAAG
This 1793-nucleotide ribosomal RNA is filed under the name Taenia multiceps. RNAcentral describes it as "SSU rRNA". The stretch from base 286 to 1793 matches the Rfam family "Eukaryotic small subunit ribosomal RNA". Lineage: Eukaryota; Metazoa; Platyhelminthes; Cestoda; Cyclophyllidea; Taeniidae. The record is from RNAcentral.